GGACGUGUAGCCUAGUGGUCUAAGGCAUCGAGCUUGAACCUCGACGUGGCGUCAAACCACCAAGCGUUCGAAUCGCUUCAUGUCCGUCA
This 89-nucleotide transfer RNA is filed under the name Hymenobacter sp. RNAcentral's name for it is "tRNA-Ser". It matches the Rfam family "tRNA". From Rfam's summary of the family: Transfer RNA (tRNA) molecules are approximately 80 nucleotides in length. Their secondary structure includes four short double-helical elements and three loops (D, anti-codon, and T loops). The record is from RNAcentral. Lineage: Bacteria; Pseudomonadati; Bacteroidota; Cytophagia; Cytophagales; Hymenobacteraceae.